Molecule: non-coding RNA, 390 nt
Filed under: Jatropha curcas
Lineage: Eukaryota; Viridiplantae; Streptophyta; Magnoliopsida; Malpighiales; Euphorbiaceae
Description: Bacterial small subunit ribosomal RNA
Rfam family: Bacterial small subunit ribosomal RNA
Source: Rfam by way of RNAcentral
CUGAAAAAAGCCCAAUGCGUAACGUACAGCAGUGGGGAAUAUUGGUCAAUGGUCUAAGGACUGAACCAGCAAUUUGGAGGAAUGAAAAACGAAUAAGUCGUUUAAAGUUCUAGAUAAAAAAUUUAUGAUGACUAAGUUUUAUCUAUAAGUGACCAAAUUACGUGCCAGCAGUCGCGGUAAUACGUAGAAGACAAGUGUUAUUCAUCUUUAAAAGGUUUAAAGGGUACCUAGACUGGAAAUAAAGCCAUAGCAGGGACUCAUUUCCUAGAGUUUUAUGUGAGAAGAAUGAACUACCUAAGUAGCGAUAAAAUGCGAUGAUAAAGGUGAGACGGAUUGCGGCGAAGGCAUUGUUCUAUGUAAUAACUGACGUUGAGGGACGAAGCCUAGAGG